This is a long non-coding RNA of Oncorhynchus keta (chum salmon), 2406 nucleotides long. RefSeq lists it as uncharacterized. The transcript is spliced from 8 exons. Lineage: Eukaryota; Metazoa; Chordata; Actinopteri; Salmoniformes; Salmonidae. The record is from RefSeq and is a predicted model, not a curated record.
UUGGUUCCCAGGUCUACAAAAGGAGGGGCUGCAGGCCUCCAGCUGUGAUUGGUUCCCAGGUCUACAAAAGGAGGGGCUGCAGGCCUCCAGCUGUGAUUGGUCCCCAGGUCUACAAAAGGAGGGGCUGCAGGCCUCCAGCUGUGAUUGGUUCCCAGGUCUACAAAAGGAGGGGCUGCAGGCUCCAGCUGUGAUUGGUUCCCAGGUCUACAAAAGGAGGGGCUGCAGGCCUCCAACUGUGAUUGGUUCCCAGGUCUACAAAAGGAGGGGCUGCAGGCCUCCAGCUGCCCAUCUAAUUGAAUUAUCAAAUUAGUCUCAUAUAAAUUCCCAACCAUGUGGACCGACUUAAAAUGAACAUGUUUGCCAACACUUACGCUCACCAGCAGCCGACGCUUCAGCCUAAUGCAUCAAACUAUUAGCCCUGGGACAUUAUCAACAUGAACCUUUCACUUAUUCAUGGUCUUUUAUCAACAUUAUCUAUAUGGGAAUAAUAGGCUUUUUAUCUACAUAAAUGUAGUCUAUUUCCGAACAAAAAAAAGUAGCUAUUUUCAUUUCACUAUAGAAAUAAAAUGUAAAAAUAUACAGGCUGAGGAUCUGGCUUUUGCAAGCGCCAACAUACCUCUGGAAAAAGUUGACAAUCCCAAAAUGCAGGCAUUCAUUAACAAACAUGUAAAAAUGGUAAAAGACUAAAUAACUCCAUAAUAACAGACAAAUCCACUGACACACAAGACCAAUGUGUUCUUCUUAUGUUGUAGGACAGCUAGGCGAAGAUGAUGUUCUAGCUGACACAGUGUAUUGACAGCUAGGCGAAGAUGAUGUUCUAGCUGACACAGUGUAUUGACAGCUAGGUGAAGAUGUUGUUCUAGCUGACACAGUGUAUUGACAGCUAGGUGAAGAUGAUGUUCUAGCUGACACAGUGUAUUGACAGCUAGGUGAAGAUGAUGUUCUAGCUGACACAGUGUAUUGACAGCUAGGUGAAGAUGUUGUUCUAGCUGACACAGUGUAUUGACAGCUAGGUGAAGAUGAUGUUCUAGCUGACACAGUGUAUUGACAGCUAGGCGAAGAUGUUGUUCUAGCUGACACAGUGUAUUGACAGCUAGGCGAAGAUGUUGUUCUAGCUGACACAGUGUAUUGACAGCUAGGUGAAGAUGUUGUUCUAGCUGACACAGUGUAUUGACAGCUAGGUGAAGAUGUUGUUCUAGCUGACACAGUGUAUUGACAGCUAGGCGAAGAUGUUCUAGCUGACACAGUGUAUUGACAGCUAGGCGAAGAUGAUGUUCUAGCUGACACAGUGUAUUGACAGCUAGGUGAAGAUGAUGUUCUAGCUGACACAGUGUAUUGACAGCUAGGUGAAGAUGUUGUUCUAGCUGACACAGUGUAUUGACAGCUAGGUGAAGAUGUUGUUCUAGCUGACACAGUGUAUUGACAGCUAGGCGAAGAUGUUGUUCUAGCUGACACAGUGUAUUGACAGCUAGGUGAAGAUGAUGUUCUAGCUGACACAGUGUAUUGACAGCUAGGUGAAGAUGUUGUUCUAGCUGACACAGUGUAUUGACAGCUAGGUGAAGAUGUUGUUCUAGCUGACACAGUGUAUUGACAGCUAGGUGAAGAUGUUGUUCUAGCUGACACAGUGUAUUGACAGCUAGGUGAAGAUGAUGUUCUAGCUGACACAGUGUAUUGACAGCUAGGUGAAGAUGUUGUUCUAGCUGACACAGUGUAUUGACAGCUAGGUGAAGAUGUUGUUCUAGCUGACACAGUGUAUUGACAGCUAGGCGAAGAUGUUCUAGCUGACACAGUGUAUUGACAGCUAGGUGAAGAUGUUGUUCUAGCUGACAGUGUAUUGACAGCUAGGUGAAGAUGAUGUUCUAGCUGACACAGUGUAUUGACAGCUAGGUGAAGACGUUAGAUGUUGUCCUGGCUGACACAGUGUUUUUAGAUGACAGUGAACUAUACAAUAGUGUCAGAAUAUCAUUCCUGGGCUUUGUGGAGGCAGAGAAACGUAUUUCUCCAAAUACUGCGAUCUUAAUAGUUAGAGAAGUAUACAGUCAUGGCCAAACGUUUUGAGAAUGACAAAUAUUAAUUUUCAAAGUCUGCUGCCUCAGUUUGUAUGAUGGGAAUUUGCAUACAGUCUAGAAUGUUAUGAAGAGUGAUCAGAUGAAUUAUAAUGAAUUGAAAGUCCCUCUUUGCCAUGCAAUUAACUGAUUCCCCAAAAACAUUUCCACUGCAUUUCAGCCCUGCCACAAAAGGACCAGCUGACAUCAUGUCAGUGAUUCUCUCGUUAACACAGGUGUGAGUGUUGAUGAGGACAAGGCUGGAGAUCACUCUGUCAUGCUGAUUGAGUUUGAAUAACAGACUGGAAGCUUCAAAAGGAAGGUGGUGCAUGGAAUCAUUGUUCUUCCUCUGUCAACCAUG